GAAAUGACUUCUGCUUGUUAUCUUACAGGGAAAGAAGAAAAAGAGGAAGAGGGAAAAACUGCAGGAAUCUUCCACAGGUGCAGGCCCAAGACUGACAGCUGCCUACAUUUGAAGCAUGGAGGAAAAUGAAAUGACUUUUCGACAUGCAAGUCUAAGACUGCAACACCAGGCCGUUUUAUAAAGAUGGAAGCCUGCAAGAUUACCUAACGUCUCCUUCACCUGCACAGUCCACCCAAAGGAGUCCAUAGAGACAUUGAGUUCACCUGGAUACAAUGCUAGAGACACUGAACUUUUAAAGACAAUCACUGCCUGUCCCAUGCACCUCCAUCUCACAAGAACAAAAUCACCAUGAAAGUGCACAUCUGAAGUUCGAAUAGUCACUUUCACCUUCACUACUGUCCUGUCCAUGGAAUUCUCACCUACCCGAUUUUGCACGUCACUUAAUUCCAUGUCCUUACUUUACCAUGAUGAGAAAGACAACAGUUGACUGUUGAUCAUGAGUGACCAAAUGGUGCAUAUCCCAUUGCCAUGUAGCUCACAUGGCUGAAGAUAUGUUUUGGAGACUGCCUCUCAAACCUCUUAUUUAAUGGUGCGAAAGGAAAUGUUUUAUUUGCAUUUUGUAGCUCUUUUUUUAAGUUGAAUGCUUUUUGUAUUAACUUUUUUUUGUUUCUUGGUGUAUAUUUUAGUACCCAUAAAUUUUGUUUUUCAAGGAGCUUUUAGGACUUGGAACAUUUUGUUCAUUUUAUGGCCUUUUUCACCCCGAUGGAGAAGAACUUCAAUUUAAGAAGGCUUUCAUGAACUGUUUUUACUAAAUAGUGGCCUGUUCUCAGUCUAUAUUAGGUAUACUGUGGAGCAAAAUAAAUGUCACAUCAAGGUCAACCUGCCUGAAAAUGCAUCAGUGCUAUGUCAUUGUUCUUUUGUAAAGAAUUCUAAACCUAUUAUAAGCUAUAUCGUAGCAAUUCUACGGUUACUAUGGGUUUUAUUUCUAAGAAACUGCAGCACUUGUGCCAUGUUCCUUUGUUACCCUGUACUUUUGUUUCUCAGAUGGAUAGCUAUUAGCAGGAUCUUUUGUGCCACAUUUUUAAUAAAAAAAAAAAAAAAAUGCUGUACCAUUUUAAUAUUAAAGGGGUACCAAAAUAUUUUGCUUGAAACACUGUUGAUGUAGAUCAUCUAUCCAGUUCUGUUUGUCAACGUAAUGUGCUGUUCCAUUGUUUUUAUGAUUUUUGUAUUAAAUUAAACCUUACAUGUCUGGUUAUAA
Protopterus annectens (West African lungfish) is the source of this 1258-nucleotide long non-coding RNA. RefSeq lists it as uncharacterized. Lineage: Eukaryota; Metazoa; Chordata; Ceratodontiformes; Protopteridae. The record is from RefSeq and is a predicted model, not a curated record. The transcript has 3 exons.